Non-coding RNA from Schistosoma rodhaini, 48 nucleotides. Lineage: Eukaryota; Metazoa; Platyhelminthes; Trematoda; Strigeidida; Schistosomatidae. The record is from Rfam.
AUCCAGCUGACGAGUCCCAAAUAGGACAAAGUGGUGCGCCUUCUGGAU